Molecule: long non-coding RNA, 1678 nt
Filed under: Elaeis guineensis (African oil palm)
Lineage: Eukaryota; Viridiplantae; Streptophyta; Magnoliopsida; Arecales; Arecaceae
Description: long non-coding RNA (EGUI_LNC045696)
Source: RNAcentral
AAAUAUUUCAUCUUCUAAUGAACUCCUAUGUUGUGGUGAAGUCCUUAGGACUAUUUAGACUCGACAAAGGAGGAUUUAUCGUUUAGUCCUUAAAUCUGUUCGUGACCAAAUAAUACGUUGUUACCAAAGACGACAACGUUUAUCAAGCAUAGGUCAUUGUGUGCCAUAUAGAUUGGUUGUCUUCUUAACUAAUGAGUUUGGAGAUACUGGUAUGGCAUACAAGUGAGAUGUAAGGGUACAUCUGCACUGACCGACUCCGGAGCUAUUUCUGCUGUCAGGAUUUGCUCCGAUGAAAUAUGGGUAUAGAUAUCCCUCCGACCUGAGACCGCCACGGUGACUUGCAAAGAACUCACUGCACUUAGGCACUGGACUACCUGAAUUUCUAAUUCAAUGAUGAAAGGCUGCUGGGUGUAGUCAAGUACUUGACUUGUCGGUGCGUGUGUCAAGAUGGGAUUGACCACUCCAGUUUAGGAGCUAUGUACAGUCAUGUUUCAAUUUAGCAAAAUCUUGGCCAGGAUAGUCCUUGUGAGGAGUCACAGGACUGUUUGAGUUGAGCAUGAUUCGGAUGAUCUGAUCAAGGUUGACAGUUUAACUCUGAGUCGUCCUAAACACAGGGGUCAAAAGGAUGAAUUAUACAGUAACCAUAUUCAUAUAGGUUCUGAGUAUUGCGAUUGCGACUCUUCGACCUAUCCAGAUGUCGGGUACCAUUGCUAGAUGGUCACUUCGAUUAGUACAGGAAUUGGUUCCUGUGCUACCGGCUUAGGUUCGAACCUACGGAGUCACACACAUUAGAGGUUCCUAUCUGAUCUGAUGGCUGGUGUAGAAUCCUACAUGUUUGGGACUCAGUGAUCGAGAAUCAGGAUUCUCUGAUCAUGAGUUCCACACAUUAUGGGUACCGGGGUCAAGAGUCCCACUGGUUGGGACUUUUCGAUUAAGGUUACAUAUCGAUGAAUUCUGAUCCCCGAUUACCCAUCGAAUUUGGACUCAGUAUUUAUGAGAGAUUUAAUUAGUGAUUUGAUCGCUAAUUAACUCAAUUUGAUUAAGUAAUUAUUUUUGGAUCAAGUCCAUUUGAAUUAGAUUCAAUUGGGUUUGACCCGAUUAUGUUAAGAGUUGACCUAAUCGUCGAGAUGGUUUGGUCCCUGAUUUGAUCAGGGGUUGUGAAGCGAAAAUUUAGUGCAGGGACAAAAUGAUAAUUUUAAAAUUUUUUCAAAAUUACUAUUUUAUAGUAAAAUUAUUAAUUAAUCUCAUUAAUUAAUACUAAUUAACCCUACACUAGGAUCUAAAUAUGAUACAACAACAUGCAUUUAAAUUUGAAAUUCAAAUUUGAAUCAGAAGGGGCGUGGAUCUUUGUGCGUGGAAAAUGUUUCACGAGAAACCUUUUCUCGUGUAAGUAAUGUGGCGCACAAAAUGGAUAAGGAUGAAAGGGCAAGUGAUAAGUUAUCCAUUCAAAUUCAAACAUGCUUUGAAUUUGAAUGGCUAACUAAUUAUUUUAUCCAUCCAUAUGGUGCACAAAUGAGGGCGUGGGGAAGGGUUUUGUGUGAGAAAAAUUUCACGAGAAGUUUCUUCUCGUGAAUUCAAAUGGGUGCAAGGAAGUUGGGUGUCGCAGGGAAUUUAAAACAAGGUGGUUUGAUUCAAAUUGAGCCAACCUAGUUUAAAAUAGGUCAAGCACAAUUAGAUC